GUGGGAAGCCUUUGUCAUAGGGUAAAAGUUGCAUACCCCUGUGCUGUAGGCUUCACACUUUUGGUCAAAUAUCAGGUUCUGUAGCUGUGUAUUUUAUAGGAACAAAUCUGUUCUACAAUGAUUAUUUUCCUUACCUUAGGAUGACCUGAAUGCCUUGGUAACGUUAUUCAUUUGAGUGUCGCUCCUCUUUUUGAAGAUGUUGAUGCUGUCUUCAAUGACACACAAAUCAUAAACCUGACGCCUGGCCUUGCUACUCAGUGUGGAUUCAGCUUUAAAUUUGACCCCAUGGGGAAUGCCAUGUUUUUUGCUUCUCUUCAAAACUGCUUUUCCAAAAACAGCACUGUAGUGUUUGCUUGUACUUCAAAUUGACAGUUUGCCUUUCAGUGUCACUGCAUUUGCAACUUAUACUGUAGCAGUUUUAUUUACCUUUGACAUGGAGUCAUGCUGAGACCAGGCUCUUUUACAGAUGAGCCCUGUAUACACAGACACAAGUCAAUAUUUGCAUCACUAGAUGGGGAAAAAUGAAAUAAUUGAAAACACCUUCUUCAGUAAAAAGGUCCUCCAUAAGCCUGAGUUGCCUUAGAGGUGCUAAAACACACUUUAGCGCAUGGAGGUUAUUAGACGUACGGUGCCAGAAACAUUGAAACAGUUUUACUUAACUCUGUGGAUAUCUCUUACCUCGACGAUGACGUAAAGUACAGCAGAAGUUUAUGGAGGGUUUUCAGAGGGCCAGGCAACUUUCUGAUAGACUGCAGUGAUGUAAACUAUUGAGCUCUACUCCUGUAGUGUGGCUUCAAUACAGUGGCAGCUGCAUUCAUAUAGCCAAUUAUGCCAGUCUAUAACUUGCAUGAAUGUCACCUGAAUUCUGUUUUUUGCUAU
Molecule: long non-coding RNA, 879 nt
Organism: Oncorhynchus keta (chum salmon)
Lineage: Eukaryota; Metazoa; Chordata; Actinopteri; Salmoniformes; Salmonidae
Exons: 3
Source: RefSeq, a predicted model, not a curated record